Equus caballus (horse) is the source of this 2086-nucleotide long non-coding RNA. The record is from Ensembl. NCBI's taxonomy places the organism in Eukaryota, Metazoa, Chordata, Mammalia, Perissodactyla, Equidae.
CCUCACUUGCCCCUCGACCCCGCACAUCAUUUCACUUCUGGGCUGCGCCCACACCCCCCCAUCUUGGCGGAGAGAGCUUCCCGGGCCAUGAAGGAGGAGCGGAUCCGGGCAUCCUGGGCUUCCCCACUCCAGCUGCCUGGCUUCCUGAUAGAUGUCUUGCAGAUUGCGGGCAGACUUAACUCCUUGCUUGCCAGCCUGGUGGACUCCGAGGUGGUGACGCCGAGAGGAAGGGAAGAAGGGAGGGACUCCCGACCUCACUCCCACCCACAGUUUAACACGUUGUGGUCCGGAACGCAAUCUCAGAACUUGGGCUGGUCAGAGCCCUGGAAGGCUGCCUGGUACUCAAGGAGCAACACGAAACCGGGCACCUGAGAGAAUCCUUCUCUGACCAACGCCACCUACUUAUUCAUUCAACAAAUAUUUAUUGAGGACCUACUAUGUGCCAGGCUCUGGACUAGACAAUAGGUAUAUUUUGGUGAACAAGACAGAUGUGGUCCUUGCCCUCACAGACAACAAGUGAACAGUUGACUUCAAGUUGGCAUCAUGAAGGCUUGGGGAGCACUUCAGAGAUGCCUAUCCUGGACUUGGGAGUCUUGGAAAGUUUCCUGCAGGGAGCCACAUCUGAGCUGAGCCUCACUGCAGCCUAAGGUGCGGUUCUGUCCAGGCGGACAGUUCAUCUUGCUGGAGGUUUAAUGAUAGAACAAGAUCCCAGCAAGGGAUCUCACACACGUUAUGAGAGAGCUCUAAGGCUCCCUUCCCAAACUACCCAUUUAAAUCAAUUCUCCCAGUCCCAAAAGAAGGAAGACUGGGGGGAGAGUGAAGAGUCUGUGACCUUGGCCUAGUCACACCCUGUCUCUGGGCCUUAGUUUCUUCAAAUGUAGAACAAGAGGGUUGGAUGAUUUUAUCUCCAGGCUCUUUAUCAGAUAAGAUAGCAGUUAAAUAGCAGUGGGGGGGUGGGGUAUCGAGAGAAAGACACUCACCGAGCUCUGGUCUGCUUGCGGGGGAGGUCAGAGUUCCUAGGCUCAGGAGAGGCUAUCAGAGGCAGGGCCCCAGAGAAGGGCACACGCGUCACCUCCUACUCCUCACUGCCCAAGUGGUCUGGCAGUUCUGAGUCCUGGGAACGUUUACUUCUUGCCAUCAACUGAAGGCAAGAGCCUUUCUGAGAUUGUGCUGGGAGGGGUGAGCCUCAGGGGGACAACACUCACAGAAUAUCUUUAGUUACUGCAUUAACUUACUCUUCUAUGUAGCACUAUAGAGCUUUUAUUUUUCAGAGACGGAAGGUUCACAGCUGAGGAAACUGAGGCCCAGAGUGGUGAAAGGACUUGACUAAAAUCACGUGGUUGGGGAGUGGUAGCUGGAAGAGGUGCCCAGGUCUCCUGAUUCCAUGUCCAGACUCUUUCCACGAGACCACGGCAGCACUGGCGUCCAACUUUCCAUUGGACUGCUUCCUAUGUCUGGCUCCUUUCCCUGUGAGGCCAUAAGAUCUGGGAAGGCAGCCUUGGCCUCCUUAUCUGGAUGUCCCCCAAAGCCUGGUGCAGGGCUCCAAACAGAGGGAGGGGUGCUCAGAACUUCCAGCCUCCAGACCCCCCUUUUUUCUCUCAUCAUGACCCUAUUUAUAUGCAUGUAACUUUCUGGGCCAAUCUGAAAAGGCAUUCCUGGAUUGUGGAUGAAGCCCUGGGCCAGGCAUAUUCCCAGUCCCAGCCAGGCCUAAAGCCUGCUGUGUGACUUCCAACAAGCUGAUUAACUUCGCUGGGCCUCAUUUCUCCAUCUGUCAAGACACGUAACAGAUUCUAACUCCUAGGGCAUUUGUAACUCGAAAUCUCAGAUUAGGAAGUAGUUUUAAAAGGUAGAACUCUGAGGUAAGGGAAGAAGCUUAAUGUUUCAGUCUUUUUGCCAGAUCCCACAGCCUCAGGACCACAUCUAUUCCAUCUGCAGGGACUGGGGUGCUGCCUAAUGGGGCACCUACACCCUGACACCAUGCUGGAUCCUGUGAAAGUUAUAGAACCCUGAAUAUAUGUUAUGUAACCUGAAUAUAUUCUGGGGUCCCAUGCCCCAAAUACCAAAAAUAAUUUCAGAAAGGAAUCCC